AGCAGUCGCCACGGUAAUACGUAGGGGGCAAGCGUUGUCCGGAAUUAUUGGGCGUAAAGCGCGCGCGGGCGGUUUUUUAAGUCUGGUGUCUAAGUGCGGGGCUCAACCCCGUGACGCACUGGUAACUGGGAGACUUGAGUGCAGAAGAGGAGAGCGGAAUUCCACGUGUAGCGGUGAAAUGCGUAGAGAUGUGGAGGAACACCAGUGGCGAAGGCGGCUCUCUGGACUGUAACUGACGCUGAGGCGCGAAAGCGUGGGGAGCAAACAGGAUUAGAUACCCCCGUAGUCCCUGUCUCUUAUACA
RNAcentral lists this ribosomal RNA (303 nucleotides) under uncultured bacterium. RNAcentral's name for it is "partial 16S ribosomal RNA". It matches the Rfam family "Bacterial small subunit ribosomal RNA", at positions 507 to 808 of the family's 1533-position model. The record is from RNAcentral.